GCCCCCCAACCGGUGGGAGAUGUGGAUUAUUCGAUGCAACGCGAAAAACCUUACCUACCCUUGACAUGUCAGGAAUCCAGCAGAGACGUUGGAGUGCUCGAAAGAGAACCUGAACACAGGUGCUGCAUGGCUGUCGUCAGCUCGUGUCGUGAGAUGUUGGGUUAAGUCCCGCAACGAGCGCAACCCUUGUCCUUAGUUGCUACCAUUUAGUUGAGCACUUUAAGGAGACUGCCGGUGACAAACCGGAGGAAGGUGGGGAUGACGUCAAGUCCUCAUGGCCCUUAUGGGUAGGGCUUCACACGUCAUACAAUGGUCGGUACAGAGGGUUGCCAAGCCGCGAGGUGGAGCUAAUCUCAGAAAGCCGAUCGUAGUCCGGAUUGCACUCUGCAACUCGAGUGCAUGAAGUCGGAAUCGCUAGUAAUCGCGGAUCAGCAUGUCGCGGUGAAUACGUUCCCGGGCCUUGUACACACCGCCCGUA
This 478-nucleotide ribosomal RNA is filed under the name bacterium PRO-MP6. Its description in RNAcentral is "bacterial SSU rRNA". It matches the Rfam family "Bacterial small subunit ribosomal RNA", at positions 919 to 1398 of the family's 1533-position model. The record is from RNAcentral.